GACGAACGCUGGCGGCGUGCCUAAUACAUGCAAGUUGAGCGCUGAAGGUUGGUACUUGUACCAACUGGAUGAGCAGCGAACGGGUGAGUAACGCGUGGGGAAUCUGCCUUUGAGCGGGGGACAACAUUUGGAAACGAAUGCUAAUACCGCAUAAAAACUUUAAACACAAGUUUUAAGUUUGAAAGAUGCAAUUGCAUCACUCAAAGAUGAUCCCGCGUUGUAUUAGCUAGUUGGUGAGGUAAAGGCUCACCAAGGCGAUGAUACAUAGCCGACCUGAGAGGGUGAUCGGCCACAUUGGGACUGAGACACGGCCCAAACUCCUACGGGAGGCAGCAGUAGGGAAUCUUCAGCAAUGGACGAAAGUCUGACCGAACAACGCCGCGUGAGUGAAGGAGGUUUUCGGAUCGUAAAACUCUGUUGGUAGAGGAGAACGUUGGUGAGAGUGGAAAGCUCAUCAAGUGACGGUAACUACCCAGAAAGGGACGGCUAACUACGUG
RNAcentral lists this ribosomal RNA (497 nucleotides) under uncultured bacterium. RNAcentral describes it as "partial 16S ribosomal RNA". It matches the Rfam family "Bacterial small subunit ribosomal RNA", at positions 28 to 507 of the family's 1533-position model. The record is from RNAcentral.